UCCCAGGUAGCUUAGCUGGUAAAGAAUCUGCCUACAAUGCAGGAAACCCCUGUUCGAUUCCUGGGAU
RNAcentral lists this transfer RNA (67 nucleotides) under Ovis aries (sheep). It matches the Rfam family "tRNA". From Rfam's summary of the family: Transfer RNA (tRNA) molecules are approximately 80 nucleotides in length. Their secondary structure includes four short double-helical elements and three loops (D, anti-codon, and T loops). The record is from Rfam by way of RNAcentral. Lineage: Eukaryota; Metazoa; Chordata; Mammalia; Artiodactyla; Bovidae.